RNAcentral lists this transfer RNA (75 nucleotides) under Pseudomonadales bacterium. Its description in RNAcentral is "tRNA-Gly". It matches the Rfam family "tRNA". Rfam says of the family: Transfer RNA (tRNA) molecules are approximately 80 nucleotides in length. Lineage: Bacteria; Pseudomonadati; Pseudomonadota; Gammaproteobacteria; Pseudomonadales. The record is from RNAcentral.
GCGGGUAUCGUAUAGUGGCUAUUACCCCAGCCUUCCAAGCUGAUGACGAGGGUUCGAUUCCCUCUACCCGCUCCA